CAGGUGCUGCAUGGCUGUCGUCAGCUCGUGUCGUGAGAUGUCGGGUUAAGUCCCGUAACGAGCGCAACCCUUGUCCUUAGUUACCAGCACGUUAUGGUGGGCACUCUAAGGAGACUGCCGGUGACAAACCGGAGGAAGGUGGGGAUGACGCCAAGUCAUCAUGGCCCUUACGGCCUGGGCUACACACGUGCUACAAUGGUCGGUACAAAGGGUUGCCAAGCCGCGAGGUGGAGCUAAUCCCAUAAAACCGAUCGUAGUCCGGAUCGCAGUCUGCAACUCGACUGCGUGAAGUCGGAAUCGCUAGUAAUCGUGAAUCAGAAUGUCACGGUGAAUACGUUCCCGGGCCUU
Molecule: ribosomal RNA, 348 nt
Filed under: uncultured Pseudomonas sp.
Lineage: Bacteria; Pseudomonadati; Pseudomonadota; Gammaproteobacteria; Pseudomonadales; Pseudomonadaceae
Description: bacterial SSU rRNA
Rfam family: Bacterial small subunit ribosomal RNA
Source: RNAcentral